CACGUAGGGUCCGAGCGUUGUCCGGAAUUACUGGGCGUAAAGCGUGCGCAGGCGGUUGUGUAAGACAGAUGUGAAAUCCCCGGGCUCAACCUGGGAAUGGCAUUUGGGACUGCAAGGCUUGAGUGCGGCAGAGGAGACUGGAAUUCCUGGUGUAGCAGUGAAAUGCGUAGAUAUCAGGAGGAAUACCGAUGGCGAAGGCAGGUCUCUGGGCUGACACUGACGCUCAUGCACGAAAGCGUGGGGAGCAAACAGG
This 253-nucleotide ribosomal RNA is filed under the name uncultured bacterium. Its description in RNAcentral is "partial 16S ribosomal RNA". It matches the Rfam family "Bacterial small subunit ribosomal RNA", at positions 524 to 776 of the family's 1533-position model. The record is from RNAcentral.